Non-coding RNA from Paralichthys olivaceus (Japanese flounder), 259 nucleotides. NCBI's taxonomy places the organism in Eukaryota, Metazoa, Chordata, Actinopteri, Pleuronectiformes, Paralichthyidae. The record is from RefSeq and is a predicted model, not a curated record.
CCUCUUAAUCUGUGCCAGCAUCGCUCUUCUGGUUUUCACAUUAUCGGCAAUAACCCUCCUGAGUUCUUACUGCUGGAAACAAAUUCUGACCCACAAGUCAACAAAGGCAGAGCAAAUGUCCACUCGUAUGAUGCCUGACCUGCCCAAGUGGAGCACUCCUUCCACUCCCGUCAUGUUUGGUCUGAACAACUUCCACUCUCCAGGGACACCACCGACCGUCAUCACCAGUGGGAACCAGCCUUUAGGCAUGUACACCACC